This is a non-coding RNA of Podarcis lilfordi (Lilford's wall lizard), 117 nucleotides long. Lineage: Eukaryota; Metazoa; Chordata; Lepidosauria; Squamata; Lacertidae. The record is from the annotation of a GenBank genome assembly.
AGUCCAGUAACAUCUUAGAGACCAACUAAGUUUGUUCUAGGUAUAAGUUUUUGUGUGCAUGCACACAAAUGCUUAUGCCCAGAACAAACUUAGUUGGUUCUAAGGUGCUACUGGACU